GUAUAAGGUCUGGCCUGCCCACUGAUUUUUAAAGGGCCGCGGUAUAUUAACCGUGCGAAGGUAGCAUAGUCAAUAGUCUUUUAAUUGGAGGCUUGAAUGAACGGUCGGACAUGGGGAUUACUGUCUUAUCGAAUAAGGCGAAGUUAACUUCUGUGUGAAAAGGCACUGAUAUGUUAGAGGGACGAUAAGACCCUAUAAAACUUUAUAGAUGGGGGUGUUUCUUCUAAGGCGGGAGUAAAAGAGGAUUUACCGGGUUUAUUGUGCUGGGGCGGCUGGAAUAUAAUUGUAACUGUUCUUUUUGGUGAAAUAAUUAUGCUUAGAUAUUGACCCUGAAUUUUGGUUUAUAAGAGUAAGUUACUUUAGGGAUAACAGCGUUAUCUCUCUUGAGAGUUCAUAUCGACAGAGACGUUUGCGACCUCGAUGUUGAAUUAAAGCUUUCUCCAGGGGCAGAAGUCUGGAAGACAGGUCUGUUCGACCUUUAAAGUUUUACAUGAUUUG
Molecule: ribosomal RNA, 498 nt
Filed under: Alpheus peasei (orangetail snapping shrimp)
Lineage: Eukaryota; Metazoa; Arthropoda; Malacostraca; Decapoda; Alpheidae
Description: partial large subunit ribosomal RNA
Rfam family: Bacterial large subunit ribosomal RNA
Source: RNAcentral